Molecule: long non-coding RNA, 1082 nt
Organism: Plutella xylostella (diamondback moth)
Lineage: Eukaryota; Metazoa; Arthropoda; Insecta; Lepidoptera; Plutellidae
Source: RefSeq, a predicted model, not a curated record
GCAACCGGCAAAAGUAAAAAGUUACUUCCGAAGUUUAGAGGACCUUUUAAAAUAAGUGCUGUUCUCAAAAAUGACCGCUACGAGAUCUCUAGCAUCGAAGGUCACACUAAACGGAAAUAUAAAAGUAUUUACUCUGCAGACGCUUUAAAAAAGUGGAUUACUUUUAACACCCCUGAUGACAAUGUACUCGAAAAUGAUCCCAGCAGCUCGGACAGCUCGAGCUAAAAUUUAAUAAUAAUAGAUGUGAUAUACCAACUAACAUCCUAAACAUUAUAUUCCUUGCAUCCUUUACAUGCGCCUUUAUUGUAAAUCGUAUUUUAUGUAUUAUUAUAAUUAUGUCCCCACCACCUUCCUAUAACUAGAUGACCCAGGCGAGCAAACACAAUGGAUCCGCUGAUGGAGUACCUACUACUGUUUGAUGGCCUAUGAAAGGAAUAAAAAGGAAUCCCACAACCAGCAGCAGACAGUGGCAGUACACUCCAGAAGAACGUGAUAUAUGUACAAGUGUCGGUGGAAAUCUAGCCUGUAGUGUCACUGAUAUUAUUUACCUACUAAAAAAAAAAAUCACAAUGAUAUUAAUUUUGUAUAAGUAGUUGAUUAGUGCCUAUGAGUAGAUCAAAUUAUCAAAUCAAAUGUAAAUAUUCAAAUUUGUAAGGGAUAGGUAUUUAAUUUAUGCACUCUGUUAUGUAAUUAUUUGAUUUAAACAAUAACUUGCAUUAUAAUGAUGAUUAUGAUUUAAAUUUAGUUUGUAUGGGGUCAUACAGUUGCACAUUCGAAUGGCCGGACCGGAAUAGGGUCAUUCCGAAUACAGGACGGCCGUCUGUUAGCAAUAUCAAUAAUAAUUUGUUAUUUAUCUUAAUUUCAGGAGGAUAUUUUAUGCUGUUUUAUUACUUUAUUAGUAUUUUAUAAAUUAUUAUUUAUUUAAUGUUAUCUGAAUCAUUUUAAUAUCGGCAAUUGUAAAAGUUAGGUGUAGCAACACUAAUUUUGAAUUGGCGGCCAUUCGUGGUACUGUGUCGGCACGACAAGGUGAUACUUACAAAAAUUGUAUGUGUUUUGAAGAAAUAAAACGUAAUCAGUGUGAA